This 301-nucleotide ribosomal RNA is filed under the name uncultured bacterium. RNAcentral describes it as "partial 16S ribosomal RNA". It matches the Rfam family "Bacterial small subunit ribosomal RNA", at positions 509 to 808 of the family's 1533-position model. The record is from RNAcentral.
CAGUAGCCACGGUAAUACGUAGGUGGCAAGCGUUGUCCGGAAUUAUUGGGCGUAAAGGGCUCGCAGGCGGUUUCUUAAGUCUGAUGUGAAAGCCCCCGGCUCAACCGGGGAGGGUCAUUGGAAACUGGGAAACAUGAGUGCAGAAGAGGAGAGUGGAAUUCCACGUGUAGCGGUGAAAUGCGUAGAGAUGUGGAGGAACACCAGUGGCGAAGGCGACUCUCUGGUCUGUAACUGACGCUGAGGAGCGAAAGCGUGGGGAGCGAACAGGAUUAGAUCCCCGGUAGUCCCUGUCUCUUAUACA